GAUCACCUCCUUAAUCGACGACAUCAGCUGCUCCAUAAGUUCCCACACGAAUUGCUUGAUUCAUUGAAGAAGACGAUAAGAAGCAGCCCGAAAUUGGGUCUGUAGCUCAGUUGGUUAGAGCGCACCCCUGAUAAGGGUGAGGUCGGCAGUUCGAAUCUGCCCAGACCCACCAAUUUUGUGUGGGAAACGCCUGUAGAAAUACGGGGCCAUAGCUCAGCUGGGAGAGCGCCUGCCUUGCACGCAGGAGGUCAACGGUUCGAUCCCGUUUGGCUCCACCACUACCGCUUCUGUUUGUUGAAAGCUUAGAAAUGAGCAUUCCAUCCUGGUGAUGGUGAAUGUUGAUUUUUAGUCUUUGAUUAGAUCGUUCUUUAAAAAUUUGGGUAUGUGAUAGAAAGAUAGACUGAUGGCCACUUUCACUGGUGGUGAUCAGGCUAAGGUAAAAUUUGUGAGUUUAAUCGCGAAUUUUCGGAGAAUGUGGUGUG
RNAcentral lists this transfer RNA (482 nucleotides) under Pseudomonas sp. GP32. RNAcentral describes it as "partial 16S-23S ribosomal RNA intergenic spacer". The stretch from base 96 to 169 matches the Rfam family "tRNA". Lineage: Bacteria; Pseudomonadati; Pseudomonadota; Gammaproteobacteria; Pseudomonadales; Pseudomonadaceae. The record is from RNAcentral.